GGGUUGUGAGGUUAAGCGACUAAGCGUACACGGUGGAUGCCCUGGCAGUCAGAGGCGAUGAAGGACGUGCUAAUCUGCGAUAAGCGUCGGUGAGGUGAUAUGAACCGUUAUAACCGGCGAUUUCCGAAUGGGGAAACCCAGUGUGUUUCGACACACUAUCAUUAACUGAAUCCAUAGGUUAAUGAGGCGAACCGGGGGAACUGAAACAUCUAAGUACCCCGAGGAAAAGAAAUCAACCGAGAUUCCCCCAGUAGCGGCGAGCGAACGGGGAGGAGCCCAGAGCCUGAAUCAGUGUGUGUGUUAGUGGAAGCGUCUGGAAAGGCGCGCGAUACAGGGUGACAGCCCCGUACACAAAAAUGCACAUGCUGUGAGCUCGAUGAGUAGGGCGGGACACGUGGUAUCCUGUCUGAAUAUGGGGGGACCAUCCUCCAAGGCUAAAUACUCCUGACUGACCGAUAGUGAACCAGUACCGUGAGGGAAAGGCGAAAAGAACCCCGGCGAGGGGAGUGAAAAAGAACCUGAAACCGUGUACGUACAAGCAGUGGGAGCCUCUUAAUGGGGUGACUGCGUACCUUUUGUAUAAUGGGUCAGCGACUUAUAUUCUGUAGCAAGGUUAACCGAAUAGGGGAGCCGAAGGGAAACCGAGUCUUAACUGGGCGUUAAGUUGCAGGGUAUAGACCCGAAACCCGGUGAUCUAGCCAUGGGCAGGUUGAAGGUUGGGUAACACUAACUGGAGGACCGAACCGACUAAUGUUGAAAAAUUAGCGGAUGACUUGUGGCUGGGGGUGAAAGGCCAAUCAAACCGGGAGAUAGCUGGUUCUCCCCGAAAGCUAUUUAGGUAGCGCCUCGUGAAUUCAUCUCCGGGGGUAGAGCACUGUUUCGGCAAGGGGGUCAUCCCGACUUACCAACCCGAUGCAAACUGCGAAUACCGGAGAAUGUUAUCACGGGAGACACACGGCGGGUGCUAACGUCCGUCGUGAAG
RNAcentral lists this ribosomal RNA (982 nucleotides) under Escherichia coli. Its description in RNAcentral is "partial 23S ribosomal RNA". It matches the Rfam family "Bacterial large subunit ribosomal RNA", at positions 1 to 1015 of the family's 2925-position model. The record is from RNAcentral. Lineage: Bacteria; Pseudomonadati; Pseudomonadota; Gammaproteobacteria; Enterobacterales; Enterobacteriaceae.